UGUCACUCAGUGCCGUUCAUAAUAACACGGAGUUGCGAGACGAGAAGUGAUAAACGUACAGAAUUACUCGGUGGCAGCCAAUCAUUCAAGCAAAUUUAGCUACUCCUGAAAGACUGUCAAUAUUAUUACUCUGAAAUGGAAGAAAACCAAGACAACGAGGACAAUGGGCCAAGGGUGGAGGAUGAUCUAGUUGACGAUGUGGGAGGUGUUGCCAAGCAGCCAGCCACACAUCUAAUGGAGGUGGAUUUGUCAACUGCUCAGGUCCAUGAAACCAUGAAAAAAGAUGAUGCCGACGUGCAGCUUCAGUCUAGCUACCUGUGUACGUUACCAGGAUUUCUGAGAAUCUUACAAGUGGUAGGUGGCAUUUCUGACAGAAAGAGUUGGAAUUCGCAAGACCACCAGGCACUGCUAUCACUUUAUAUUGGUGAACAGUGCGAAGAGGUCUGGAUCUGCGCCUGCGUCUAGGUGUCCGUAUUUGGACUCUCAUACCUUUCAACAAUACAAUACAACAAUUAUUUAAGGGGGUGCAACUGCACCGUUUGCACCCCCUCUACAUCCACCCCAGGGAGGAAUCCAUGGCUAGACGAACAGAGGGAAGUCACCAUCUCCAGCCUCUGCUUGUCACAUGUUACAGCGGUGCUCACACAGAGGGUUGAUUUCCCUCUGUGUGAGCACCGCAAAGUUACAACAUCCAUGUCAUGUACUCAUCCCACAAUGCAGAAAGGACAAAAAGUUUAUAAACAACGAUUUCUUGAUGAAAUAACGCAAUAAUCAUCGCUGUCAAGAAUUUAAAAACUUGGCCUAGCAAAACACCCUGUGAAUGAACUGUUCGUACAGCUAGCACAGUCCCAAUAGCUUUUGGCAUGGAGAUAAUAUCUGUUAAUUAAAACGACACACCAGUAAAAUGUUAGAUAAAGUUAAAGUUACGCCUUCCAUUGUUUAAUAAAGUGCAUUAUUGCCUUAUGAAUCCUAAAAAUCGAUUGUAAUCAAUCUGAAUUGAAAAAGGAACUCGAUGUUUAAUUUGGAGUUUGGUAUGUUAUUCAUAUCAGUCUACAUGUAAAUUACAAAUGCAUUGCUUCACUCAUUCCUCAAAAAUGUUGCUAAUUAUGGAGGAAAUUUGCAGAUGAAAUUUAAAUUUGUUAGAUUUUUUAGAUUUGACUCUAACCAUGAGGGUUUCUUAUUUGUUUUAAUAAAUAUAUUUAAUUAAAAAUUUAUCGGUUUAUACAAAUCUUGUUCCUGUCAGCAAGCUGUCACGCACUCUGAAACUUUCGGGCGAUCUGACGUCAUCACACCUAAGCACAUGGGACAUUUGCCCAGCCACAUAACCCCACGAAAACAAUUUACCAAUUAGCAGGCAAAGUUUAGGAGGCGCGACUCGUCCCGAUGUUUACAACAAGCAUAGUUGCCAGAGUUAGCAGAAUUCUGCUUCUUAGCAGAAUUUUGACCGUUUUAGCAUUAUUUAGCAUUAUUCUUAGCAGAAUUCUGAUGAUAUUAUCCAUAUGAUUUUUUUUCCUUUCUCCUGUAAAAAUAAACCAUCGGGAAUCCCAACUUUCCUCCAACUAGGGAGCUAUGUACACAAAUCUAUGGUUAAAAUCUCUGGGGAAUCCCAAGAUUUUACAUUUUUUGCUAAUUGCACCAAAAAUUGAUGGUUUUGAAGAAAAUAAUACACAAGGCUGUUAGAGCUCAUAAAGCUCUAUUAAUAACACCAAUUAGGAAUUUUACAAUUUUUCAUGGUUUACCAAAACUAUACUUUGGCUUUAUAACUGAUAUUUUUUAUGACCUUUCAAAAAUAAACAGAAGGCUAUAUGAAUCAAGCCUUAUCCAAUGUUCUUGCCAGAGUCUAGUCUUUGAUGCCUCACAAAUAGGCUUCAAAUGUUGUAUCUAUAAAUUAUAUAUUGAUAUCGUAUUUUGUGUGUAUAGUUAUGUUUAAAUACUGUAGUCAUAAUUCAAUUUGUGUGUGAAGAAAGUAUUAUUCAGAGUGAGAUUGAGAGGAAGAGAUGUGUCAAAACAUUUGUUACCUAUUUCAAACAGUGAUAAAUUGUGAGCAAAAUUAUUCAUGUCAUUAGAUUUUUAUAAUUCAAACAAAAUGCUAUAGACUAAAAUAUCUUAAAUAAGAUAAAACAGUUUAUAGUUAAUAGUUUAGUCCUAUUAUAUGAAUUGUAUUUGUUUGUGACAAGAAAAUGUGUACUUGGCAACCAAACUUAUCAUCCAAAAAAUCUGUAAGAAAUACUUUACAUGGUCCCAAAAUGUGUCAGAGCGUGGAUCUAUUUUUAAUGCCCAUUGUCUCUUUUAGAAUAGAUUGGAGCCAUGGCGUGGUGUGAUUUUCUUAUAAAAUCCUAAUAUAAAUUUUUUUAUCUGAUUUUCAAAAUUAUUUAAAAAUUUAAAUUUUUUUUUUAAUUAAAUAAUUUUUAAAAUUUAAUUUGAUUUAUUAUUAUUUUUUUUUUUUUUGGCUUCUUCAGUCGUCAAUUGUUACCUACCCAAGAGUGCUCUGUACGUACAGUACAAACAGAUUCCUGUAUUUAUAUUUCACGGCAUAAUUUCAUACUGAGACAACAGAACGAUUUUGCUGUAUCUGUCAGUGUUACUUCAUCGGUGAUGGGCAGCAUUUAUUAGAUAGCAUGUCACAAAUAUGUUAUUUGGGCCUUCCGAAGUUGGCAAGAUAGUGGCUAGUGAAAGGGAUUGAGGACCAGUAAAAAUAUUAAUUUACUGGUCCACUUGGCUAGUUAAAAUAAACCUUUAGGGAAACCCCUGCAAUAGUUUAUGUC
Molecule: long non-coding RNA, 2765 nt
Organism: Anneissia japonica
Lineage: Eukaryota; Metazoa; Echinodermata; Crinoidea; Comatulida; Comatulidae
Exons: 4
Source: RefSeq, a predicted model, not a curated record